Molecule: ribosomal RNA, 468 nt
Filed under: uncultured bacterium
Lineage: Bacteria
Description: bacterial SSU rRNA
Rfam family: Bacterial small subunit ribosomal RNA
Source: RNAcentral
ACUCCUACGGGAGGCAGCAGUGGGGAAUUUUGGACAAUGGGGGCAACCCUGAUCCAGCCAUGCCGCGUGCGGGAAGAAGGCCUUCGGGUUGUAAACCGCUUUUAGUCGGGAAGAAAAGGCAAGGGUUAACACCUCUUGUUCUUGACGGUACCGGCGGAAUAAGCACCGGCUAACUACGUGCCAGCAGCCGCGGUAAUACGUAGGGUGCGAGCGUUAAUCGGAAUUACUGGGCGUAAAGGGUGCGCAGGCGGUUUUGUAAGUCAGAUGUGAAAUCCCCGGGCUUAACCUGGGAAUGGCGUUUGAAACUGCAAGGCUAGAGUGUAGCAGAGGGGAGUGGAAUUCCGCGUGUAGCAGUGAAAUGCGUAGAUAUGCGGAGGAACACCGAUGGCGAAGGCAGCUCCCUGGGCUAACACUGACGCUCAUGCACGAAAGCGUGGGGAGCAAACAGGAUUAGAUACCCUGGUAGUC